UUACAUAAUGCCAUUGAACGCACCUCGUGUGUGCCGUAGUUUUCAAACAGUUGUUCACUAGUUUCUCCUGCAUAUGUUGCACAUGUUUGAGCUGGAUGCGUGUUGCAUGCCUUUUCCUUAACCUGCUGUGUGUACAUGAUCAAGAACCACAGCUAACUACAGUUACCUGCAGUACAGCACAGCUACUUGUCACAGCUAUCUGCUACUGCAAUAAAUCAUUAACCUGGAAGUCUGGCUGCCGUGUUCUUUAACUGGGACACAUCAUACCUUGCGCCACUCUGCGAAAAUCCUACCUGGAGACCCUCUCUCCGUUUUAGUAGUGGUGCUGUAGAAAUUGUUCCAAGCACUUGGAUUGACGGGGAUAAAGUCUUCUGGCCCCCACUCAACCCCAAGGACACCAAUAAGAUCUAUUUGGUCAUCCGAAACAGGGAGCAGCCAAGGCCUGGAUGGCAGAUCCAUAAGCCUUUGAAGGUCCUCAGCAGCCAUGAUGGGUUUGCCUCAGACGUCUGCACACAGGUCCAUGUGACCAUGCUGAGGCAAACAAAUGGCUGUCCAGGUAUCUCAGCGGAGACUGUGACACGACAGACAUUCAGUCCGAAGAGGAAUGUACUCAGCUGAAAAGAACAAGAAGGCCAAAUCCCAGAUUUAAUUCAGACUCUGACAGCUGUGACACCCAGGAAAGACUCCCACAAGCCCCCAGAAUUCUGUAUCCAGCCUCAUCUUCCCCAAAAACAUAUGAGACCCUCUGACGACCUCUUUCAGAAGAGUUCUGUCUCUGGCACCUUCAUGGAAGAGUUCCAAAGCCAAAGUUUGCUGGCCCCGCCAACUGGAAUACAACUCCCACAGGAGUCAUCUCCUGCAGAUGUGGCAAUGCAGAGACUCCUAACUGCUGUAAGUGAGCUGACCAAAGAAGUCAGGGACCUGCGGCAAGAGUUCAGAGAAUUCCGCCAGUCCUGCAGGUGUGGCCAGGCUGUAGCACCGGUGGGACCUCAGCCGGGGGUGCCCUUCGACUUGCCAUUGUGCAAUUUAGAGGCACUAGACGAAGCAGAGGCCGCUCUACAAACGGAGGACAACCAAGGAGCAAUGACUGCACUCCUUGCCAAAAUUGGAGGGACCACUGUGGAGCUCAAAAUCCGGAGGAUGCUGGCAUGGACUCUCACAAAUGAGCUAGCUUCAGAAAUGAAUUGGGCUGGGAAAAAAAACAAAGAUCCAUCCAAACAGAAGCGCCCUUUCAGAAAGCUGGCUCUCUCCAAGUGCAUGUUUGAUGCUCUUGUUCUGGAUGGAGGAAAAGCCACACAGUUUGAGUUUGCACAGGUGGUGCAGAAGUGGCUGCGCUACGCACCGGAUAGGGCAGGGGGGACUGGACGCUCUAAAUUCCCAAUGCAACCGACUUCUUGAGACUUCUGUUCUUCUCUUUUGUUCUUUUUGUUCUUCUCUUUUGUUGAUGUAGAAAUAAUUCUGGAAUUCCUGAAUAAGUUGGUGGAGGGAAGGUGGGACAUCACACAUCUCACACAAGACAACGCACGCAUGUGCGUGCCCCCCCCCCCCCCCCCCCCCCCCCCCACACACACACACUCCUGAAGUUCCUUUUUCGUUCGUUUUGCAUAAAUUGUAAUAAAAGUUCUUUUGUAUUUUAAAGUCAUCUGCUGUAAUCAUUUGACUAUACAGUAAAAUGUUUUCAUCACCUUUUAGACAUCCUGGCUAUAGAUAAGGCAGCGCUUUUACCGUUUAAAUUUAACUGAAGCCACAUUGAUUUAUAGUUGAGUAGAAAUGUCAAGGUUGUUUCAAUGUUGCUGAUGGUUGAAAUACCAUUGGUCUCUGGUCAGAAUUUCAAUGUUUCAAUAUUAAAAAAACGGUGCAACAUGAUGUUGAAUCAACAUUAUAAUUCAACAGUGAUUCAGUGACUUAUAGUUGCAAAAAUAACAUUGAUUCAAUAUAGUUUCAAUAACUGCUUGCUGUCAUGGCAAUGUUGUUUCAAUGUUCCUGAUGGUUGAAGUACCAUUGAAAUACCAUUGGUCUAUGGUCAGAAUUUCAGUGUUGUUUCAGUGUUGAAAUCUGAUGUUGAAUCAACAUCAGAUUUCAACGUUGAUUCAAAGACUUGUAGUUGAAAAAAUAACAUUGAUUAAAUGUAGUUUCAAUAAAUGCUUGCUGUCUGGGAUAUCUCUCCCCUUAUAUCCCUGCUGUAUAAUGGGAGAACUGAGCUGCAAGUUGUCCAGUCAGUAUUUUGAAUCGUGGUCUGAAUGGUGUCAGGGUCGUUCUCAAACACAUUUGGAGCUCAUUGGUCAGUCUGGUACGAUAUUUAGUUUGGAUUAUAUUCAUAGUUGAGAAAACUGCCUCAUAACUGUAUGUUUAGCCGAACAUAAUCAGCAUGUGCAGGGCUACUUUCUUCUCGGUGUCGCGUUAUUUGUCUUUUUAUCUACUCUGUCCUCUUGUCUGUCCUUUGCCUCUGAAGUGUUUUCUGAAUGCUGAGCUUGCUUAGCAGCUACAAUGCAGAGAUGUCAUUGGCUGGGUAGCGUCAUGUGGGAUGAAUUCGUAUGUAAUUGGUCUGUGUGUUUCCUGAGCUGAUAGCCAACAAUGUAAACACUGGAAAAGCUGCACUGGGAUAAUAGAAGCGACCCGUGAAAUUUAAAAUGUCAUUACACUUUACUGAUUACAGGUCCGGGGGAACCUGUUGGCCAGCCCCACUAGACACCGGCCCACCAGGACAGUGCCCGGUAUGCCAGAUGGCCAGUCCACCCCUGCAUAUCGCUGCAGGUUGCUGUAGCCAUGAUGAUUCAGUGUGCCUUCAGUUUUGAAUAAAUCCCCAACAAUGUCACAAGCAAAGCAUCCCACACUGUCACACCUCCUCCUCCAUGCUUCACUGUCGGAACCACACAUGUAGAGACCACAAAUUCGCCUUUUCUGCAUCGCAUGAAGACACGGCGGGUAGAAUCAAAGAUCUCAAUUUUGGACUCAUCAGACCAGUGGCGUGCACAGAUAGACACCAGGUGGUGCUAGAGCACCCGCCCCUUGCCCUCAGUAUCAAGCAGGUGCCCUCCACUCUCAACUUUUAAAAAUAAAUAAAUAAAUUUUUAACAUUAAACACACACACAGAGGCACACACACAGACGACCCGUGUCGCUACUCGCCCCGCCCCAUCUCGUAAGCUGCACAGUCCACAGGCAUCUCCACCCUGACUGUAGCCACCAACCAGGUAACACUUAAAUGAAUCAAGUCUAUUGUUCAUAAGCUUUGGUUGCCAAGCCACAUGGCACAUUUGUUUGUCUCUGUUGUGAAGUAGCCUGUCUCAUGCAGCGCUAAACAACCGUGCCUGAAUUAGCCCACUUUAGUUAGAAAGCCUUCAUAUUUCGAUUGGAAUAUUGUCUGGGUUGUGUUAUGUAUAUGUGCAUUUUCUCCUUUGUUGAGUUAAUCGAAUGUUGAUGUUUUUUCCUUAAUGUCCCUGAACGCACCUCGAGUGUUGACUAGUUUCUCCCCUGCACAUGUUCGGACUGAAUAUGUGUUGCUUUUGUCCUUUACUUGCUGUGUGUAAAUGAUCAAAGGUGAGUGAUCUUGUGUUCCCCCAGUGUAGAGCCUUCACUGUUCAUUGUUACCUGUUGAUUGUUAUUGAUACUUUUUGUGAUGGACAUUAGCUUAGCUAGUAGCCAAUCACGUUGUAGAUCAGGGGUGGGCAAUUAUUUUUUCCAUGGGGCCACAUAAGAAACAGAAAAUAUUGUGGAGGGCUGGGCCAAAAGACUUCUGCUUAAUAUUUAUUGUAUUUCUUUAUUUUUUUAAAAACAGUAAAUAACAUUGUUUUAACAAGCUGGCAAGAGUAUAUGUUAAAGUUAUGCAAUGAACAAGUGAGCUUGCCUUACAAAAAAAAUGUAAUUUAUUCACUCAAGUCUCUCAAAACAAUGGAAGACAAAAUGUUAACAUUUUUUUUACUAUUUGUGACUCAUAUUAGUGAACAUUUUCAGUCACAUUCAAUCCAAAACACAAUUUGAGUUUCAUAUACUGUUGAAAAGUUGUGUAAAGGUUCUGAGCAUUUUAAAGGCAUCACAGUAUUGUCUUUGUGCUCCUAACAUUAAGCAAGAAACAACUUAUUGAACUGUCCUUAACUGUGAUUUUGAGAAAGAGGUUUCCAAAUAAAGUGUCCCAGUUCACUGCUA
Acanthochromis polyacanthus (spiny chromis) is the source of this 4145-nucleotide long non-coding RNA. RefSeq lists it as uncharacterized. The transcript is spliced from 8 exons. The record is from RefSeq and is a predicted model, not a curated record. NCBI's taxonomy places the organism in Eukaryota, Metazoa, Chordata, Actinopteri, Pomacentridae.